Molecule: ribosomal RNA, 371 nt
Filed under: Planococcus maritimus
Lineage: Bacteria; Bacillati; Bacillota; Bacilli; Caryophanales; Caryophanaceae
Description: bacterial SSU rRNA
Rfam family: Bacterial small subunit ribosomal RNA
Source: RNAcentral
CCGCGGUAAUACGUAGGUGGCAAGCGUUGUCCGGAAUUAUUGGGCGUAAAGCGCGCGCAGGCGGUCCUUUAAGUCUGAUGUGAAAGCCCACGGCUCAACCGUGGAAGGUCAUUGGAAACUGGGGGACUUGAGUGCAGGAGAGGAAAGUGGAAUUCCACGUGUAGCGGUGAAAUGCGUAGAGAUGUGGAGGACCACCAGUGGCGAAGGCGACUUUCUGGCCUGUAACUGACGCUGAGGCGCGAAAGCGUGGGGAGCAAACAGGAUUAGAUACCCUGGUAGUCCACGCCGUAAACGAUGAGUGCUAAGUGUUAGGGGGUUUCCGCCCCUUAGUGCUGCAGCUAACGCAUUAAGCACUCCGCCUGGGGAGUACG